AUGCAGGUAUGGGUGGACUACGACGGCCAGGCCAAGCGACUCGAUGUGACACUAGCCCGCGUGCACGUGCCCAAGCCCAGCAAGCCUCUGCUCUCCGAGGCCAUCGACCUCUCCACUCUCAUGGCGGACGCGAUGUACGUCGGCUUCUCGGCGUCGUCGGGAGUCAUAUCGGGGCAUCACUACGUGCUCGGAUGGAGCUUCAGCUUGGACGGGCCUGCCCCGACUCUUGAUUUCUCCAAGCUUCCUGCCCUGCCACGCCUGGGACCCAAGCCUCGGUCCAAGGUACUGGACAUCGUGUUGCCGCUGGCCAGCGCGUUGCUCGUGGCAGCAGCGCUGGCUGCGGUCUUCUUCUUUCUGUGGCGUCGGCGCCGGUUCGCCGAGGUGCGCGAAGGCUGGGAAGACGAGUUCGGCCCCCACCGAUAUGCAGACAAGGAUCUGCAUCGUGCCACUGAUGGGUUCAGAGAGAAAAACUUACUUGGCGUCGGAGGAUUCGGGAGAGUGUACAAAGGCCUGCUUUCUGAAUCCAAUUUGGAGAUCGCCGUGAAGAGGGUGUCGCAUGAAUCAAGGCAAGGACUGCGCGAGUUCGUUGCCGAGGUGGCGAGCAUUGGUCGGCUCCGCCACCGGAAUCUCGUGCAGUUAUUGGGCUACUGCCGGCGCAAGGACGAGCUUAUCUUGGUGUAUGACUACAUGUCAAAUGGCAGCCUUGACAAGUACUUGCACGAUCCAAACAUGCCCGCCAUAUCUUGGCCCGAAAGGUUCUCGAUCAUCAAAGGGGUCGCAUCGGGCGUGCUGUAUCUCCACGAGGAUUGGGAAAAGGUUGUCAUCCACAGAGAUAUCAAGGCAAGCAAUGUUCUCUUGGAUGAACAGAUGAAUGGAUGCCUCGGCGAUUUUGGCCUAGCAAGGUUAUACGAUCACGGAACUGUCGCUCAAACAACCCAUGUUGUCGGCACCAUGGGAUACCUUGCACCAGAGCUUGUGCGCACCGGGAAGGCAACACCCAUAACCGAUGUGUUCGCAUUCGGUGUCUUUCUCCUAGAGGUUGCACGUGGACGACGACCGAUCAAGCGUAGCGAGCGAAACAACCCUGUAGUGAUGAUUGAUUGGGUGCUUGAGCACCACCGCAGUGGAUCGUUACUCAAGGCGGUGGAUCCACGACUAGCGGGAAAGUUUGACACAGAGGAGGUUACCCUCGUGCUGCAACUAGGUUUGUUGUGCUCCCACCCAUUGCCUGAUGCAAGACCUAGUAUGCGAAAGGUUACGCAAUACCUAGAUCGUGGGAAGUCGGUUCCUGAUCUGUCGCCGACUUACAUGAGCUACAGUAUGCUGGCGCUGAUGCAAAAUGAUGGCUUCGAUUCGUACAUUAUGUCGUACCCUCCAUCAGCGGCUAGCACUGCUGCGGUGUCUUAUGGAUCUACGAUGACAGUUCUCACUGAGGGCAGAUGA
RNAcentral lists this ribosomal RNA (1443 nucleotides) under Triticum aestivum (bread wheat). Its description in RNAcentral is "partial small subunit ribosomal RNA". Lineage: Eukaryota; Viridiplantae; Streptophyta; Magnoliopsida; Poales; Poaceae. The record is from RNAcentral.